RNAcentral lists this ribosomal RNA (801 nucleotides) under uncultured bacterium. RNAcentral's name for it is "bacterial SSU rRNA". It matches the Rfam family "Bacterial small subunit ribosomal RNA", at positions 628 to 1429 of the family's 1533-position model. The record is from RNAcentral.
GGAAACUGUUUAACUNGAGUGCAGAAGGGGAGAGUGGAAUUCCACGUGUAGCGGUGAAAUGCGUAGAUAUAUGGAGGAACACCGGUGGCGAAAGCGGCUNUCUGGUCUGUAACUGACGCUGAGGCUCGAAAGCGUGGGGAGCGAACAGGAUUAGAUACCCUGGUAGUCCACGCCGUAAACGAUGAGUGCUAGGUGUUAGGCCCUUUCCGGGGCUUAGUGCCGCAGCUAACGCAUUAAGCACUCCGCCUGGGGAGUACGACCGCAAGGUUGAAACUCAAAGGAAUUGACGGGGGCCCGCACAAGCGGUGGAGCAUGUGGUUUAAUUCGAAGCAACGCGAAGAACCUUACCAGGUCUUGACAUCCCGAUGCCCGCUCUAGAGAUAGAGUUUUACUUCGGUACAUCGGUGACAGGUGGUGCAUGGUUGUCGUCAGCUCGUGUCGUGAGAUGUUGGGUUAAGUCCCGCAACGAGCGCAACCCUUAUUGUUAGUUGCCAUCAUUCAGUUGGGCACUCUAGCGAGACUGCCGGUAAUAAACCGGAGGAAGGUGGGGAUGACGUCAAAUCAUCAUGCCCCUUAUGACCUGGGCUACACACGUGCUACAAUGGCUGGUACAACGAGUCGCAAGUCGGUGACGGCAAGCUAAUCUCUUAAAGCCAGUCUCAGUUCGGAUUGUAGGCUGCAACUCGCCUACAUGAAGUCGGAAUCGCUAGUAAUCGCGGAUCAGCACGCCGCGGUGAAUACGUUCCCGGGCCUUGUACACACCGCCCGUCACACCACGAGAGUUUGUAACACCCGAAGNCG